GCGCCCGUAGCUCAGUGGAUAGAGCAGCGGUCUCCGGAACCGCGUGCGUAGGUUCGAUUCCUAUCGGGCGUACCA
This 75-nucleotide transfer RNA is filed under the name Brevibacillus laterosporus. RNAcentral's name for it is "tRNA-Arg". It matches the Rfam family "tRNA". From Rfam's summary of the family: Transfer RNA (tRNA) molecules are approximately 80 nucleotides in length. Their secondary structure includes four short double-helical elements and three loops (D, anti-codon, and T loops). Further hydrogen bonds mediate the characteristic L-shaped molecular structure. tRNAs have two regions of fundamental functional importance: the anti-codon, which is responsible for specific mRNA codon recognition, and the 3' end, to which the tRNAs corresponding amino acid is attached (by aminoacyl-tRNA synthetases). tRNAs cope with the degeneracy of the genetic code in two manners: having more than one tRNA (with a specific anti-codon) for a particular amino acid; and 'wobble' base-pairing, i.e. permitting non-standard base-pairing at the 3rd anti-codon position. The record is from RNAcentral. Lineage: Bacteria; Bacillati; Bacillota; Bacilli; Caryophanales; Paenibacillaceae. RNAcentral also lists the same sequence under 10 other names.